CCCACCGCCUCCUUACUACUACAAAUCUCCACCCCCACCAUCCCCAUCACCCCCUCCUCCUUACUACUACAAGUCUCCACCACCACCGUCUCCCUCACCUCCUCCACCAUACUACUACAAGUCUCCACCUCCUCCGUCGCCAUCUCCACCACCACCAUACUACUACAAAUCUCCCACACCACCAUCAUCGUCACCGCCACCUCCUUACCACUACAAGUCUCCCCCACCACCAUCACCAUCUCCACCACCACCAUACUACUACAAGACCCCUCCUCCUCCNNNNNNNNNNNNNNNNNNNNNNNNNNNNNNNNNNNNNNNNNNNNNNNNNNNNNNNNNNNNNNNNNNNNNNNNNNNNNNNNNNNNNNNNNNNCCACCACCACCAUACUACUACAAAUCUCCCCCACCACCAUCUCCCUCACCUCCACCACCGUACUACUACAAGUCUCCACCACCACCAUCACCUUCACCACCACCACCAUACUACUACAAAUCUCCACCACCUCCUUCCCCAUCACCGCCACCUCCUUACCACUACAAGUCUCCCCCACCACCAUCACCAUCUCCACCACCACCAUACUACUACAAGUCCCCUCCUCCUCCCUCACCGUCUCCACCACCACCAUACUACUACAAAUCCCCACCACCACCGUCGUCAUCACCCCCUCCUCCAUACCACUACAGCUCACCUCCCCCACCGGUGAAAUCACCACCACCACCGGCAUACAUCUAUUCAUCUCCCCCACCACCAGCCCACUACUAGGCUCAAACGCCUCGGCAACAAACCACCAAUGUAAGUUUCUAUUACUCCUCUCAAUUCCAUCAAAACGCUAUAGCAAUUCAUUCAUACGUUAUUACAGCUUUCCUAACAGUACUACUUUCCCAUUUCAGAUUUAAGAAUUGACAAUGUAAUAAAAGAAGGCUCCAAUCAUGGUCUGAUAAACCCAAUAUCAUCAAUUAGUGCCAAUAAUAACAACAGCCGAUAUGGCUCAGUAUGCAGAGUUGCGAUCCUGCACAUGGCAAUGUUGCUGUGUUCAUCAUCAUCAAGUGGGGUACUGUUGUUCAAGAAGAGACGACAUUUGGGAAAUUAAGCAACUAUUCUUAGUUAGUUAUCGGAGUUGAUGAUCAAUUGGGUUUUUCAGAGUUAUUUGUUUAGUUGAUGUAUGUAUGUAAAAUCUAUUUGUUAUUUAGUUUUCCAGCUUUGAUUUUUUUGUUGGGGAGGAUUUGGGAAAUGCGUGCGUACUUUUGUUCUUAUAUUAUAUAAAUUAUUAUUAAAUGUUUUAUGUUUGGGGGAAGCAACGUAAAUUUGAUGUAAUUGUAAUUUUUUAUUGGAGCUUCUUGUACUUCAAUUUGUCCCGCCUCCCGAUUGUGAGUAAUCAAGUAAAGCCAUUUCAUAUUUCUAAUUUUUGGUUCAAUUUCGGCCGAAAUUCGCAUUCAAGUCGGAAUUAGUGAUUUCAUCCCAACUAAAAAUGGAUUGAUGAGCCUGACUUAGUUGGAAGUGGACUCAUAUCAUAUCAUUUUUGUCCGAAUAAAGUAUCCGAAUGAAUUGGACGAGCAUAUGCAGUUAACUUGGUCCAAUUUCGACUUUAAUUCUUGUCCAAAUAACAUCACCUUAUUCUUCUUCAGAUUGUGAGCAGUAAAAAGUUACUUUUGAAACGGAAAAUAAUUAACCAAUGAAUAAUUAUUUAUUUUGGUAUUACUUUCGAAAUGUAAAUUUUGUAAUUAUCAUUUCUUACGGUUAAAAAAAACAUGUUAUUAUAUAUUCACAAAUAAACUUCACUUAGCUUAAAUCUGGACUACAUCACUAUUGAUUAAGACAAAUCUUUGCGUUGCUUAAAUCGUCUCGAAAUUUGAAUCGGACCGACCAACCAGCUAUAACACCCGGGGAGGUUAAUUUGUUGCAUGCAUCAGAUGACUUGUCUUGUUGGCAUACAUAUGUAUAUCAACUAGGGAAACAGCUUGCAGCAGAGAAAGUCACAGUUAACUCUGGUGAGCAAAACAACAAUCAUUUAGUGGGAGGAGUUGAAAUCCUAAUUUAAUCACGAUGAAUCCUCGUCAUUAAUCUGAUCAGUAGCUACUUACUUUAGAGAAAAUGACGACCGAGGGAGCAGGUGAAUUCCACAGUUGGAACGUCUCUAUCGACAUUUACGUACAUCUGCUUAUUUAAUAUAUGAUUCCACCUGGCUUACCAGUUAUUCCAAUCUUCAAAAGUAACUUGUUUGCCAUAAAAAAUCUAGACAGUGGCUUUGAUUUUUUAUCUAUUCUGUAGAAAAUUUUCAAAUGAUAAUGUUGCUGCUCAUUGCUAUUUUCGAACUAAUAAUUACCCACUUUCCUGCUGGUGGCUGAUGGGAACUGGGCCUCAAUCCAGCUUAUCACGCCUAUAAAGGUUCUACGCCCCACAAGGAACAAUCCAGCAGACUCUCGCCCAAGAUUUUGCGCCUUCUAGUGACCGGUUUCGACCGAUCAUGCACCCGUUCGGGAGAUAUUUCGGUCCCAGGUGUCCGUAUGUGGUUGGUAGUUCGCCACAUAUGUCAACUUGACUCGCAGACCAAGCUACAUUCAAUUCCUACGUUAGGCCUGAGAUUCGGUUCUGGCCUGGGUUAUUUGUAACCAGCUAAAUUGGAUAACCGGAUUACUAAAAUUAUUGAUCGAUCCCGGACUGGCUGGGGUGUCCAAGUAGCCUGUACCCAUCCGGGUUGAUCACAUUAGACAAAAACGGGCCGGUAACAAGGUGAAAUAGGUGACCACAUCCGACCCUAACACAUCAAAAUCCGUUUAUCGUGGUACCUGUUACCUGAAUUUGACAAAUAAGGUUACCGGUUAAAUUGCAUACUCUAACCUGGAAUCCCCAGUUCUAGCCUAUAUACUCACGAUGAUCCUUAGAAAGAGUAUGCUGAUAGUUUGACCGACAUUCUUUAUCUGAAUAUUAUGAGUAGAGAUAACGAAGUUAUGUAUAACUGAACCCCUUUCAUUUUAGUUUUUUCCCUUUGAUGUUUUCAUAAUUCGAAUGGUAAUAUCAUAAUGUCUAACGGGAAUUGCUGUGUUAUUGGUAAACAUACAUUGGUGAUAUAGAAGUAUCAAGUUCGAAUCUCGAAUCUAGUUACAAUGUGCCAUGGGCCCUUCCUUGUUUGUUUGGCAUGCUGUCAUGUGGACCAAACCAUUGAUCAACUGGGUUCUUUUUGGGCCUUUUCUAUUUUCAUAAUCAGACCCAAUAGCCAUAAAGAACUAUUGGGCCUGACCCAUCCCUCAUUUCAAGCCCAUCCAGCUCUUCCCCAAAUAAUAGACUGAAACACCUGUAAAUAACAGCACACCAACCGCGAACAACUGUACCAACGACACCGACGCCUCUCUUCUCUUCCGAACUAAUUGAAAGGUAAAAUAUAUAUAAUCCAUCAAAUGGGAUAAUAAAUUUCUCCAUUUCAGGAGCAAUUUCCGCGCUUCUCUCUUCCCUCUCUCUCUGUCUCUCUAGCAGGUCUUGGUCGCCUUGCUGGAAGAAAAUUCCAUUGUCUGACCGCCCUUCGUCAGAUCUCCGGCUGAUUCAGAUUCUGUUUUUCAUCCGGCUCAUUCCGUCGUCGAUUAGGUUCGUUCUCUUUUCUCAUUUCCUUGUCUGCGAUCUGGUGUUCGGUGUUCCAUUUCUAUUUGUCCAAUUCCACGUGAUCUGAUCUCCAGCUAUCUUCUGGGUGAUGUUUUGCUUCCAAUUCAGCUCAGAUGUGUCCUUGCUUAUGUUUCUGUUGAUGGGAGAUUGCCGAUUUAUCCAAACAUUGUUGCGCUAUCGUGAUUCGGAUUCGUGUAUUGUUGAUUGUUUUUUUUGGCGUAUUUUCAUUUUCGUGCGAUGCCUCAUGAUGAAUCAUCUCUUGGAUGCGUGGCAGUCUGUGUUCGUCGGAUAUAUUCUUUCUGUUGUAUGCUCUGGAUCAAUGGAUGCGAUCUUACUCUACUUUUAUUCUGCUGGGUAACGUUAUAGUCCGUUAAAACUUGAUUGGUGCUUUUCUUUUAACUAGUGGAAUGGAAUUUAGUUGAAUUUGAGUUAGGCUUACGUAAUCUACAUUGUUGGAAAAAUCAACUGUUUGUGUUCCGUGGUAGUUGCAUUUAGUUGUCUACUAAUGUUUGAAAUUUCUACAAGAGAUUGCCCAAAUUGUGAUGUUAAUUUCUUGUGUUGCAGUCAUUUUACUUUCAGGUUCUUCGCCAUUCAAUUUUCUUCAUGUCAAGUAUAAUCAAGCUGUUGAUAGUUUAUUUCUUUAUGUGAUGGUCUCUUAUGCACUAUUUGUUUCUUUUGAGAUGCCACUUAUUGUUCUCUUUGUUGCUAACUAUUCUCAUUUUGAUUGCUGAUAGAGAUUAGUCUUUAUUUCACUGUAGAUUGAAGUACAGCAAUGAAGAAGGUCUUCGACCAGACUGUUAGGGACUUGUAAGUGCCUUUUCUAUUAUCUUUUCUUCGACCAGACUGUUAGACAUGUUCUUAACAUUUUUUUGCCUAUUUACUUGUGUCUGUAGAAAGAGAGAGGUGAACAAGAAAGUGCUUAAAGUACCAGGCAUAGAGCAGAAGGUAUAUUUUAGAGUUUCCUGAAAUAUCUUGCACGGAAUAUGAUUAUCGGAAAAGCAUAUUAUUGUUUUUAUAUUAUCCACUAUACCCCUAGAAAGCUAUACCCGAAAGCUUCAGAUCUCCUGAUGAACUUGAAUCAUAUAUUGCUCGUCUUUCAAAAAGACCAUCAGAUAUUCUUCACUCAUAUCUUGCUUCAUCUUUUCCAAAAGUUCCCUCUGAAUGAGUCUUUUUUUUAGGUUCUUGAUGCUACAAGCAACGAGCCCUGGGGUCCUCAUGGAUCACUUCUUGCAGACAUCGCACAAGCUACCAGAAACUAGUAUCAUUCUACAAUCUGUCCGCUAGUGCUUUAGAUUGGAUUUGGAUACUUAAUCAGAAUAAAUUAAUUCUGUAACUGUUUGUGCAGUCAUGAAUACCAGAUGAUUAUGUCAAUUAUCUGGAAACGAAUCAAUGACACAGGCAAGAACUGGCGACAUGUCUACAAGGUUUGUGCAGCGCUGUGUAUAGUUGUUUAGGAUAUUCACAUAUGCUUGAUGCUAUCUAUCUUUGUAAAAAAUGUGAUAUUGAUAGCAACUGUCGUGCACCCGUUGGUCAUUGCUCGUUUUGUGUGGCUUAGUUUAAUUGUACAGAUUUCUCCUUGAGUAUUUUUGCUAUAUGUAGGAUGUCCGUACUUCAAAGACUUCGCUAUAAUUUUUGCUGCUUGAUUUCAUUGUGCGAUGGUCCAGCUUAUUGUCAGUAUGUUUACUCACUGCAUGUCUCUUAUGCAUCUUGUGUGGCUUGAUUUAAAUGUAAAAAUUUAGUAUUUUUGCUUGCAUUUAGUAUGUCCCACACCUAACUUCACUAUUUUUUGCUGCUUGAUUUCAUUGUAUGAUGGUACACUGUUGUUUUAGUUUGUUCAUUUACUGCAUGUGUCUUAAUCGUAUGCUUCUUAUACUGCAUGGCAAGAAAGUGCUGAAAUUCUUCUGUGUGGGUUCAGGGUUUGACUGUCUUGGAAUAUCUAGUGGCUCAUGGGUCAGAACGAGUCAUAGAUGACAUAAAAGAACAUGCUUAUCAGAUAUCGGUGAGGCUCGGUUUUUGUAUGAUUGCCAUUGCUGCAACCUUGUAAUUCCUUAAGAUUGUUGCAGCUACAUAGGGUUGUGGCAAAGUAGCUUUAUGUGUGCCUAACCAGCUGUUUUUAUGUAUAUUAGACACUGUCCGAAUUUCAGUACAUUGAUUCCAGUGGAAGAGACCAGGGUAGCAAUGUCAGGAAGAAAUCUCAAAAUCUUGUGGCUCUGGUGAAUGAUAAAGAAAGGAUUGUUGAAGUUAGACAGAAAGCUGCCGCUAACAGGGAAAGGUGGAUUAGUUUUUGAACUAAAGCUUGUCUAACGGUUUUAAAUUGCCAACAAAUUGUAUUUAAUUGACAUCGUUUCUACAUUGAAGUCCAAUAAAUUACUUGAAAUUGUUAUUUUAAUUCCAAAAAAUGCAAAUAACAAUAGUUAUUCGGAAUUAUAGCAGUCAACUUUUGACUCCAUCGUUUAUUAUUGAUUGUUGGUGGUAUGCUUCCUUUUUAUAGGUUCCGCAGUCCAUCAGCUGGUGGAAUGCAGAGGCCUGGUUCUCAUUCUGUUGGAGGAUAUGGAGAACGUUAUGAUGAUGAUCGCUACGAGGGCCGCUAUGGAAAUAGGGAUGAAGAACGGAAUGGAUAUGGAAGAGAAAGAGAAAACAAUUAUAGGGACGAUGACCGAUAUGGUAGGUAUGGCGAUUCAUAUAAUCGAGAUGGAAACAGAGAUGAAGAACGCUAUGGCCGGGAUGGAGACAGGGAUGAUGGAUACAGGGGAAGAAGUCGUAGCAAUGAUGGCUAUGGUUCGAGAGGCAGGAGUUCUGAUAGAGAUCGAGGCCAUGAUGAGGACAGCCGAUACUCAUCUCGGUAUAUUGCAACUUACUUUAUGAAGCUCUUUGUUACUUGAAUUGCUUCAAUAUGUUUUUGAUUUCCUAGUUAGCAAAUUCAAUAAUUUUGAAGAUGUGUCUCUCUUGUCCAGACUUUGAGUUUUUAGCUGAAGUGGUUUCAUUCGAUCUUUUUCAAAGAAAAAUUAGUGGCUUUGAGGGUCGUGAUAUGUGAAGACUGCACAAGGAAACUAGUAAAACAAAGCUUUUGAAGAAAGGGUACUUAGGAAAUCAGGGGCCAUAGUGAAUAUCCAUCUGAUGGCUCUAUUGGCAUAGUAUAUUCUUGUGAUGUUUUCCCACAAGCUUAGGCCUUCCUUUUUAAAUUAAAAAGCAUUAGUCACAGUGGAUAGUAGAGAUAGCUGAGUGAUGCCUUGAUUCUCUGUAGUGGUAGUUGUGCUAGAGCGAAUGAUCACUCCCAUGAUGGGAGGCAAAUGAAUAUAUAUGUUCUUUGCUUUUUCUCAUUGGUGGCCAUUAUUCGGAUUUCAUUUUUUUCCCGACUUUGCAGGCCCCUAGAGAGAAAGUUUUCUGAGCAAAAUAUUGGUGCACCUCCUAGCUAUGAAGAAGCUGUAAAUGAAGCCGCUAGCCCUGUACACAGUGAAAAGUAUUUUUCUUUGCUAACGGAGCACUUGAGCUUCUAAGUUCCAUCUAUAUUUCCGGUUUGGUUAAUUGUGAUUUGAUUUCUAUGACAGGAAUAGAGAAACUUCUGUGCCAUCUGGCCCCGUAGAUUCCUCUCCAUCAGCUCCUCAAGCUUCUUCCUCACCUGCUCCUCAGGUUUCUCAAUCUGCAAGUAAUACCUUAAAAGAACCCUCUGGUUUCAGCUCAUCUGUCUCUCCUGCCAAUCAAGAAGUAUUGGUAGAUGAAUUUGAUCCACGCAGCGCUUUUGUAGGUACAUGACGAAGUAAAUGUACAUAUAAAUCUAUCAAUUGCAUGCAAGCUGUUCUUUUGUAUAUAACUGUUGCUGUUUGUUUAUUUGCACAUUCUAGAUGUGACCAUAAACAUCAAAUUGUCCUCUUCUUUGCUACUGUUUUUCUUAGAUGAUCGAGUAACGUUCCAUAAAGGCGGUAGUUUUGGGUGCCCGGGAUGUCUGUUUUUUUAAGAUCGACAAUUUAGUAAAAGCUAAAGGUUUGUUAUGUGGUUUGGAUGGAAGUGGGUAAUCAAGCAUGUCUUCGUUGUUCUUAUUGAUUUCUUUACUCCUAGAAAAGACAAGAGAAGGUACUUUAUGUUUUGGUGUUAAGUCAUGUACUUUUUGACCACCGUGAUUGUCUAUUAUGGAAGUGGGUGUCACUUUGAAAAGCAUUAGAUGUGCUUGCUCAUAAUGUUGGCAGACAGGAGUGCCAAUAGUUUAGCUUAUCCCUAUUGAUAUGCCGAAUCUCCUUUUAGUUGAAGCUUAUGUUUGUAUGUUCUCUUGGUCCAGCUUUUCCGAUUUCCUCAGCAGCUCCAACUACCUCUACUGCUUCAGCAACUGCAAACAAUGCUGAAAUGGAUUUGCUUGGUUCUCUCUCAGAAUCAUUUGGUCCAUUAGCGAUUGUUCCAGUUUCUUCUUCAACUACUUCCUCUGAACCUAAUUCCCAGCCAAAUUACCCGGCACCCUCAUUUGCUUCAGCGCAACCUACUUUUGCCAAUCAAGUAAGCUCAUCUUGAAGCACCUUUUCAUGACAUCUUAUUGUUCUUGAUGCUUCUUGACUUUUAAGGGAUGAAGCUCAUAUUUCAUUUGACGAGUGACUAGUAAAGUUUAUACUAACUCAUUUGGAAUCGGAACACAAUUUGGUCUUGUAGGGAUUUGACGAUCCAUUUGGGGACAAUCCCUUCAAGGCUGUUCCUUCAACUAGUGUUCUCCCAGAACAACCAAACCUUUCAUUUUCUGCUGCUGCAUCCCAGAAUUCACCGAACCCAUAUGCCGAAGUGCCACAUGCACCUGUUCCAAAUACUGAAAUGGAAAGGAACUCACCCUUCGGCGACACGACCUCUAGCUUGAGUUAUUCUGCACCUGAUUUUCAGUCAACCUCAGCUACCUCCCAGUUCUUACCUCAAGAACUUUCCUCUUCAAAUCACGAAACUGAUAUACUAGCAGAUAUCCUCCCCGCUUCUGGGCCAGCACCACAGGCAGGGCUUCCAGCUCAAACUGGUCAAACCCCGUUCCCGGUUGGUAAUGCAUAUGGAAACUUCAAUUCACAGACAGGAUCUGCAGUUCCAGCAGCUCCAAACAUGGCUCCUCCAACUUCACAGUUUAGUAGUGGCAAUGGCAGUUUUCUGCCACAGGGAGAUUCCAUGGGCCCAACCUCUGGAUUUGCUACACAGUCAGGGUAUGGAGCGCCAACUGCACAUCAGAUCCCUCAUCAAAUGGCAGCUGGACCAUCAGACGCUGCUUCUUAUGGCUCUCCUGGACCAACCGCUCAGCACAACACUGUUGUCCUAGGUGGUUUCUAUGCACAAGGAGCAAGUGCUCCAUUGACUCCCCAGCCCGUUCAGUCUUUGGCUUCUCAGCCCAGCCUCUCUUCUUCAACUGGUGCACUUGUUUCUGUUUCUCAGCCGUCGAAAGACAAAUUCGAAACCAAAUCAACAGUCUGGGCUGAUACACUCAGCAGAGGGCUCGUCAAUUUGAACAUAUCAGGAUGUAAGUACUUGAAAUUUCAUUUUAAUAACUAUGAUGGAGCGUGUUCUUUAGAGGAUUUAAACUUUGUGUUUGCUUGUGCAGCUAAGACGAAUCCAUUGGCUGACAUCGGAGUUGAUUUUGAUGCAAUUAAUCGCAAAGAAAAGAGAAUGUCGAAACCAACCACCACUACGAAUGUCGCAUCUACUGUCACCAUGGGGAAAGCCAUGGGAUCUGGUUCUGGAAUUGGCCGAGCGGGUGCAACUGGCAUAAGGCCGCAACCCCCAAAUAUGAUGAUGGGUCCAGGCGCCGGCAUGGGUAUGGGCGUGGGCAUGGCUGGGGGUCCCGGCCCCGGAAUGGGUAUGGGCAUGGCUGGUUCUGGUCCCGGCAUGGGUAUGGGAGGCUACGGAAGAAUGGCUCAACCGAUGGGAAUGGGAAUGAAUGGUAUGCAAAUGAACGGAAUGGGGAAUAUGCAGCAGCCUCUAAGUGGACUGCCCCAACAAGGACCACCAAUGUCGAUGCCCGGUGGAUAUAACAAUAUGAUGAUGGGCGGAGGUGGUUACCCUCAACAGCCGUAUGGUAGAGGCUACCAGUGAAGAGAAUCGAAUUGAAUCGGCAUCACAUUUUGUUUGUACAAGACACAAGGUAAAAUGAUGGCAUGCCAUUGUGAAGUGAGUUGGAAGUGGAUGCUUCUGAUCCUCGGCGAGUACCUUGUUGGGAAGACUAAUUCAUGGGAUGCAUGUUGUGAUGGGUUUCUUUAUACGAUUUCUGUGAAUUGUAAUUCUAUUAGUUCCCCCUUUGUAUUUAAUUGAUAUUUUGUGAUUCAUAUGGUUUUGGGGGGGGAAGAUCAGUAGAGGGUGAAAUUGGUUUUGUUUUUAUAUAUAGUUUUUGGUCAGCUUUUGCCAAAUUUGUAAUACUAGAACCCGCUGGAUUUGUGCGCAUGUCAUAACUAUGGAUUUGUGGUCUGCUUCUUUCUGACUUGAACAGACUUAUCAACAUCCGAGCUCGUAAAACUAAGGUCCAUGCUCAUUUACUCGUCAUGAAUAACCCAGCUGCUAUAUAGCUCCGUGGAGGCCAAGUCUUGGAUUAAUCUGUACUCGCGGCGAAACGUCGGUGAGAAAUGUUGUUUCAUGGGACACACCAACGGCUGGGUGUAUGCAUAGUGGAUUGCCGUACACAUCUAUAGUUCUAUACGCAUACCUUGCCACACUCUAAAGUCCCAAACAAACCAUUUGAUUUCAGCACCGUGCACAUAUAUCCAAAUACUCGUAAUCAACUCCUACACACUGUACAAUGUGUUGGAAUUGUUUAGUUUGGCAAGUUGAAGACAAGGCUUGCAUCUCAGGCCUUGGUCUCCAAAAAGGUAGUCUAAUUGCAAUCUGUGGGAUUCCUGUUUGUUUUUAUUAGUGUAGAGAUACCGUGGAUACAAUCCCUGUGAUUGUGUUAGCCAUAAUUUAUUAUUACUUAAUAAUAUUGAUUUCAGCACCAUGUUAGCUUCUUUGCUGUUAGUUUCUAGCAACUAGUAUAUGCAGCCAAUUAAAGAAAUAAUGAAACUUGGUGGACAAGUUCAAAUUUAAAGAAAUGCUAUUUAAAUUGGCAUGUAUGUAUCAGGUAAUAAUCGACGACUUUAAUAGGGGAAAAUGUGAAAAAUUAAAGGGUAAACGAUGAUAGCAAGAAUCAAAUUUCUACAUAGGAUGCCGUUGGAGAACAAGAGAUCAGCUUAGCAGAGUGUUCUUUCUUUCUUUCUCCAUCCCAAAUUAAGAGAAUCAGAAGGAGGAAGAUUCAUGGAAGAACCCAGUUGAUUUCUUAGAGGAAAGAGGGAGGAGGAAGAAGAAGAAGAAGAAGAAGAAGAGGAAGAGCACGAACUUUGACCAGCUGAUUCUGUAGUUGAAUUGGUUUGAACGGAAUUUGAAGAAUCUUCGUUUCUUCUGGAAUCAGUUUCUAGUGUUUAUUAUUCUGUUGCCAAGUCAAACUUCUCGUUCCCUUUACUUUUCCUUCCCUCCCAUCCCAUUUUUACAAGUUUCUCAUUCAGUAACUACCCAUCUUCUCCAUUUCUGAUCUACUCUAUCCUUCAAAGCUUUCAUCUUUCCCUCACAAUUCGAAUUUUUUUUUAUAAUUAUAGGGUCACUGCCUUUUCUGUCGAUUUGUUCAUAUUUGCUACACUUCUUUUCUGAUUGGUCUGUGGCUAGCAAGAUCUUGGGUGUUCUUCUUCAAAGAUCAAAACUUUAAUUCUUCCUUCUGUUCAUUCUGCUUGUCAUUCAAUCUACAGAUACCCUUUUCCAUUAAAAGUCAAACCCAGAUUGGAUAGAUGGGUAAUUGCUGUGUAACCCCAUUUUCAAAGGAGAAUAAUAACAGUAAGCACACCAAGAAGAAGAGUCUGUUCUCCGGAGGUGGUCAUGGAAAUGGCGGUGGCGGCCGNNAGGGGGGGGGGCGGCCGCCACAAGCAGCAUCAGCUGAUUGUUUUGAAAGAAGCAACCGGCGGAGACAUUCACAAAAGGUACGAGCUUGGUAAGGAGUUGGGAAGGGGGGAGUUUGGGAUCACGUAUCUGUGUACGGACAAGGAGAGUGGAGCGACUUUUGCCUGCAAGUCAAUCUCCAAGAAGAAGCUGCUGACUGCUGUGGAUGUAGAAGAUGUCAGGAGGGAAGUGGCGAUCAUGAGACAUUUGCCUGUGCAUCAAAACUUUGUUACCUUGAAGGAUACUUAUGAGGACGAAGCUGCUGUGCAUUUGGUGAUGGAGUUGUGUCAAGGUGGAGAGUUGUUUGACCGGAUUAUUGCUAGAGGUCAUUACACUGAAAGAGCUGCUGCUUCCGUCCUCAAGACCAUUGUGGAAGUUGUUCAGGUAAAAAAGCUAACUUUGACUCCCAAAGCUUUGAGCUUUUGCAUUCUAAACUACUUUAACUAGGAAUUUUGAUAAUGAAAGCUAUAAAAAUCACGAUUUAACCUGAGAAAGUUAGAACCAGUAAAAGUGAUUUUGGGGUUCGAACUUUCCGGUUUGACAAGUGAGAGUGAUAAAUGAAUUUUUGAGCAUUUUCCCACUCGGAUGGGAAAGUUACAUCCCGAGAAAGUAAUUUUGGAGAGCGAAUUUUCCCGUUGCAAUCUAAAUUCCAUCCAACUUUCCAUCGGCCAAACCAAAAUGACAGAUGUAACUUGAUUUCAGUUUCAAUCCUUCCUGCAAUUUGUUGUGUUGAUGUGAAAAUCUUGGUUCGUUCCCUUUUGGAUGACAGAUGUGUCAUACACAUGGAGUAAUGCAUAGAGAUCUAAAGCCUGAGAACUUUUUGUUUGCCAAUAAAAAGGAGACUGCGCCUCUCAAGGCCAUUGACUUUGGACUGUCAGUAUUUUUCAAGCCUGGUAAUGUUUUACUGGUGACUUCUUUGCUUUGCAGUUACUGAUGUUUUAUAGUUCCUUAACUGAUUUUCCUUCUUCCAGGUGAAACAUACACUGAGAUUGUGGGAAGUCCAUAUUACAUGGCUCCUGAAGUGUUGAAACGGAACUACGGCCCUGAAAUCGACGUCUGGAGUGCUGGUGUUAUACUUUACAUCUUACUUUGUGGCGUUCCACCCUUUUGGGCAGGUUAGUACCUUUGUAUGAUUCAGGUUAAUACAACCAUUAAAGGUUGUAGCUUGAUGCUCAACUUUCUUCUUGAACUAGGAAACUGUAACUUGUACGCUAAGUUUUUUAGAUUCUCUGUUGCCUCCCCUAUGCAGAAACUGAACAAGGAGUUGCACGAGCAAUCAUUCGAUCCAAUUUAGAUUUCAAGAGAGAUCCGUGGCCUAAAGUUUCCGACAAUGCAAAAGACCUUGUGAAAAAGAUGCUCAACCCUGAUCCCAAACGACGCCUCACCGCCCAGGAAGUACUAGGUUGGUUGGUUUCCUCUUCCGGAACUAGUGCUUCUUACGUGUUUUCGUUCUAAUUUUGGACAUUGUUUCUUUGUAAUGCAGAUCAUCCUUGGCUGCAAAACUCGAGCAGUGCUCCGAAUGUGUCCUUGGGGGAUGCAGUAAAAGCAAGGCUCAAGCAAUUCUCUGCAAUGAACAAGCUCAAGAAAAGAGCUUUAAGGGUACAUUGAUAUGUUUGCAUCAACAAUCUGAGAAGUUAUGUAAUGCUGAUGUUUUUGUAUGGCGUUUCCCAACUGUUUUUGUUAAUGUUAACAGGUGAUCGCUGAGCGCUUGUCAGUGGAGGAAGCUGCCAGCAUCAAGGACGGUUUCCAGCUGAUUGAUGCUAGAAACAUCGGGAAAGUUAACAUCGACGAUCUGCGUAUUGGCUUACAGAAGUUAGGCCAUCAAGUCACUGAGGCUGAUAUUCAUAGCCUAAUGGAAGCUGUAAGUGACAUUCGUUAUUACUUUUUUCUGUAACAUAGUUUCAUCACCGAAGAUGAGUCGAUUUGCUGAGAUAAAGUGACUGAAAAAUGAAGCCUUUUCCAUUCACAGGGUGAUGUUGAUGGGGAUGGAUAUCUGGACUAUGGAGAGUUUGUGACCAUUUCUGUUCACCUAAGGAAGAUAGGGAACGAUGACCACAUUCGCAAAGCUUUCGAGUACUUUGACCAAAACCAAACCGGGCACAUCGAAAUCGAAGAGCUGCGUGAAGCUUUGGCAGACGAUGUCGAUGCACAGGGCGAAGAAAUUAUCAGCGCCAUUAAAACAGAUGUUGACACGGACAAGGUUAGUAAUAUAAGUAUACCAUCACGACUUGUAAUUGUAUUCUCUGAUUAUGUACUUAGUUAUAACCCCAUUCUUACCGUGUAGUUGUUGCCAUGUCUGAUUUCCAGGAUGGAAAAAUAAGCUACGAGGAGUUUGCAGCGAUGAUGAAAGCCGGUACUGAUUGGAGGAAGGCAUCAAGGCAGUAUUCGAGAGAACGGUUCAGCAAUCUUAGUAUGACACUAAUGGAGGACGGAUCUUUGUGGGGGGGCAAAGAUUAAUGUAACGAACCAUAACGGGACCGGCCCCGAAUUCUUUUUGAAGUUCAUUCUUUCCUAAAGCUAUAUAUAGAGACUUUCUGGGUGAGAUCUGUUUACUUGAGUGAAUCUUAUAUGCGUUUUUUUCUUUCUAUUUUCUUGGCGUGGAAGGCAACUAGAAAGUGGCUGUAAAUACUACAUACUAAAUAGUAUUACUUUGAAAUUUGAACGAUACUGCAAUUUUCGCUGUACAGUUAAGACUGUAUUUUGGGGAAUUAAACCUUUAAUUUAUUGAGAAGAGAAAUGAAAUAUCUAUCAUUCUUAAAGAAAGAUACACAAAGCUACCGUAAGACAAAUCUUUUCUGGGCAGCAUAACCAUUUCCCUCUCAGGGACUCGGUUCAUAACUUGGCCUCCUAAGAUAUCCUUUUCUUUCAGAUAGCUUUUACUUCAGGGCCUCCAUUUUCUAUACUUGUAUUCAGCUCCCAGAACUUCCCGAGCCAAACACAAAAGCUGAACCUUUGUCAUUUUCAUCACAGAUUUAGGAUUAGGACAGACACAAGAACCAACCAAAUAACUAUAUUUUCAGCUAACUGAAGAGAGACGGAGAAGCAGGCUAAAAUUAUAUCUAGUUCCAUAUCAACUAAUGCAGGCUAAUGGUGAUUCACAUUAGUUGGCAUAUGUAAAGCAAAUGCUCGCUCUACCUGGCAUCAAGGAGGAGAUGUCUUUCCCAUUUUAGGCAGCAGACAGCUAAAAAGUUCACUCUAGGAAGACUUGAAUUCUGUCGCCCACCGUGUCUUUGAAAUCCAACAGCAGCUUGCCUCCUGCUUCACCGGCCGCCUCAUCCAAUAGUUCUUUGAUGUUGACACCUCCCAAAGCUGUUUCAUGUAGACAUAUUAGUAAAAAUUACUCAUUUACGUUUUAACUUUAGCAAGAUUUCAGCAGACUAUUAGUAAUGUUAUCUCAAAAUGACAGUGUGGAAUUAUACCCGGUACGAUGUUAGUUAUUCCAUCCAAGAAACCAGCCUGCAUAGCACAAGCGAACAAAUAUCAUUAUUUGGGCACACAUUCUUCGGGUGCUACAUUACUAGCCAAUGUAUCAAAUCAGUGGUGCUUUUCAAAAGAUUCUAAACAGCAGAAAUCAAAGCUACGGUAACUGGUUUAUUCGUCAUGAUGACCACUUGAUGUUGAUAAACUGUUCUUUUUUCUAACAAGAGUUCGAAUAGGAGGAAGGAUUGACGGAUGAACAUCUUAUCCAGCCAAGAUAUGUGUCAUUACUCACAUGUGGCACGAAAGAACCCAAUAUAUAGAGGAAUCUAAGAUGAAUGCUAGCAAAUAGUUGCUUCACUAGAAGAGGAAAAGAGAGACUCACAGGAAUUCUAACGUCAAGUUUCUCAAACCCAUCAUUGCCAGUUAUUUUAACCCUCAAUGUCCGCGACCAGAUUCCAGAAAAGGGACCUCUGGAACCAUCUGCACCAUAGGCAUUGUAUACAUCAGGAGUAAUCACUUCCACAACAGGCUCUUGGGGACUUUCACUUCUUUGUUCUUUAUCAUCUUGAUCCCUCCGUUGUACAGAAUAAACAUUACUGCUUGCUGAUGAAUGACAUACAGUUAUAAGAAUGAGGCAACUGUAACAUAGCAACCUUCAUUAUCUUCAUAUUUCCCGGAACACAAUUGUAAACAGGAAAAGCUUAACAAGCCAAUUAAAACAAAAUUGUGAAAGAAAAAAUAUUUCUUAUGGGUUGGAAAGUCCAAAGCCAUAAUUAUAUGGAGGGCUAACACAAGGACGAUUAGAAUACACAGUACAGAACACAAGUAUGCCCUGCAUGAAACCUGUUUUGCAGAAAAAUGUAUUAUGUUUAGCUGAAUAUCUAGGUAAGAAUCUGAGAAUGGAUCGUGGAAAUAUUAAAAUGUUAAAAUGAUCAAUGCAGAUUUCAUCAUAAAUCUGAGGAGAAUUUUCAAAACAUAUUUUGCAGAUGUUUCUUCUUAACUGAGAUUUCAAUUCUCACCAACCUGGCUGCCUGGAAACUGAGCUGCUGCUAGUAGCAUACCGCUUCUCUUCUUCAUAGUAAGCAUUGAACCCUAAGGUUUCCUUUAUUUCCUCAAAUGAAGGCAUACUUCCAGGAGGAGGAAUCCGGCCUCCCUUAAUGGCAGUAAGUGCAUCCUGCGGAAAAAGAAAAACUUGGUUUCGAACUGUAUAAUUCACAUUGUCACCUUAGUUUAAACCUUGCAUUUUGUAGAGAAUCUUACAGAUUAGCUAAGUAACCUAGUAUACGUCCCCUAUUUAGUUGUAUUAUGUAUUAUUAGGUAAUUACCUCCUAAUAGGAUUCCUAGAGUAGGUAAGUCUCAUAUGGAGACUUGUGUAUAUAACCCCUAUUGCCUACGGGCCUUCCAAUAACAAGAGUAGAACAUAAUUCUCUCAAAUCUACAUGGUAUCAGAGCCUUCUCUGUACCUUAAACCCUAACGUCUUCCGCUGUCGCUACUUCCGAUCGAAGCCAUGACGAGUGAAGGAACCAUAUUUGUGAGCACAGGAGUUGCUGCUACUGGAAAUAACCAGAGCACAAUGGCACCAGUGAUGAACACGGAUUACUCAGGAUUCCUGAUUACGCACAAACUCGAUGGAAAGAAUUAUCUCAAAUGGUCUAAGACAAUUGAGAUGCACAUCAAAGGAAGAAGAAAAGGAGGGUAUUUGACUGGCGCAAUCAAAGCACCAGAAAGCACUAAUCCUCAAUUCCAAACCUGGGAUGAGCACGAUAACCUAGUCAAGACCUGGUUGAUCAAUUAUAUGAAGCCAAAUAUCGGGGAGAACUACAUCCUUCACCCGACUGCCAAGGCUAUCUGGGAUGCAGCCAGAAAGACUUACUCAACUGUUGACAAUUCGUCUGCUAUGUUCAAAAUCGAACAACAGCUCUUCCACCUUCAUCGGGGGGAGAUGGAUGUCACAGAAUACUACAAUCAGCUGGGACACCAUUGGCUUCAUCUAGAUAACUAUGAAGCUCAAGACUGGGAUACUCCCGGUGAUCAGGAGAAAUUCCGUUAGUAUAUUGAAAAGAAAAGGACCCUGGCAUUCCUUUUGGGAUUAAACCAGAACCUUGAUGGAAUUAAGAGUCGCGUUAUGAGCACUAAGCCCUUCCCUACUCUCGAAGAGGUUUUGCAGAGAUCCUAGGUGAGGAAUACCGUCGGGAUCUCAUGGUGACAUCAAAUAAUGCGAACAACAACACUCCUCUUCCAGCUGAAGGCUCAGCUCUGGCUGUUCCUGGCUGGAAAAAUUCUUCAAGCUCAUGGUCCAGAAUCAGCCAUCCUCACAAAAUCAGCCAGAAAGCUUCUCUAGUCAUUUUGCUAGUCAAGGUAAAUCCUCUUAUGCCUACUCGGUUCAAUCUAAACCUUGUGCAAAAUGGAUAAUAGAUUCAGGCUAUUCGGAUCACAUGACUGGUUCUAAGGAAGUGUGAACCGAAUUUCAAUCCUAUCCUAAGAAGGCAGGGGUACGUAUAGCUGAUGGUAGCCUCUCAGCAGUUGAAGCAAUAGGCAGAGUUCGGAUUAACCAAAACAUAGAGUUAUUUCCAGUACUUUAUGUACCAAAGUUAAAUUGCAACCUAAUCUCUAUAAGUCAGAUCACUAGAGACCUAAAGUGUGAAGCCCUAUUCAGUUCUAAUCGUUAUUCCCUGCAGGAGGAAGGCUCCGGGAAGACGAUUGGAACUGCUAACCUUCAUGAAGACCUAUUUAUCAUGAAUGAAGUCAGGAGGGAGGCAGCAGAUGAAGGACUAAGUCGUGCUUUAGCUACUAGCAUUCUGAAUAGAGAUGAUAGCCAAAUUAUGUUAUGACAUAUUCGGUUAGGACAUCCUAGUUUUGGAUAUUUACAGAGAUUGUUACCUAAAUUAUUUCUCAAUAAAAGCUUUAAGGAUUUACAAUGCGAUGAGUGUCAACUGGCACAACACACCCGUGCUAGUUACCCUGGGCUGCAGUACAAACCUACACAGCCAUUGCUAUUAUGCACCGCGUCUAUUAUUCACAGUGACAUUUGGGGACCAACGAGAGUAAAAACAUCAACGGGGCCAGAUGGUUCAUCACAUUCAUAGAUGACCAUACUAGCUCACUUGGACAUUCCUCAUGAAAGCAAAAUCUGAGACAACAACAGUAUUUCAAGGGUUCUAUGACAUGAUUCUCACUCAGUUUGACACAAAGAUACAAGUCCUAAAAACUGACAAUGCUCAUGAUUAUUUCAACUCAGAACUAGGCACCUAUCUCUCUCAAUGAGGAGUCAUACACUGCAGUUCUUGUGUGGAUACCCCACAGCUGAACGGUAUUGCAGAAGCAAGAACCGGCACCUCCUUGAGACUGCUAGGGCACUUAUGUUCACUAAACAUGUGCCGAAACACUUAUGGGGAGACGCUGUCCUGACAGCUACCUACCUAAUCAACAGACUACCGUGUCGAGUCUUAAAAUACCAGACCCCCAAGGAUGUGCGGGUGCAGACAUAUCCACAUUUGCAAGCUUAUAUGUCAGCUAUGGACCCGAAGGUAUUCGGGUGCCUUGCGUUUGUCCACAUUCAACAGCACCAACGGACCAAACUUGAUCCGCGUGCACAAAAAUGUGUGUUCAUUGGAUAUGCACCUCGCCAACACGGCUACAAGUGUUAUUCUCCAUCCACUAAUAAGGUUUUCACCACCAUGGAUGUAACCUUCUUUGAGACCUCCGGAUAUUAUGGAAAUCCAAAGCUUCAGGGGGAGAGAGUGGUAGGAGAAGAAACUCUGGAUAUGCUAAUUCCUAUGGAGGUUGAACCAGUAAUGCCUCAGGUUUUGGUUUCCUUACCAAGUUCUCCACCUGAACCUGAGGAGAGACAACAACCUGCCAUUCAACACGUGUACCAACGAAGGAGAAGAACAGCUCCUGAGAACUCUGAGGAGAUUACAACUACAGAAAGCCUUGCUGAUGUGGAAGAUACAGUUGAGAUGUGGAAGAUACAGCUGAACCAGAACUGCCCCUACAAUCAGAAAAUGAAGAAACCGUAGUUGAGGAAGUGUAUCAGCCUGACGACUAUGACCUAUACUUGCCAAUAUCAAUGAGGAAAGGCAUUCGGGAAUCCACUCGUCAUCCUAUUCAAAGGUAUGUCAAUUAUGGACGUCUUAGUCCGGAAUUUCGAGCCUUUACCACUCACUUGGAUACUAAACCAAGGACCAUUGAGAAGGCAAUGCGAAUACCUGAAUGGAGACAGGUUGUUCUUGAUGAAAUUGCAGCCCUAGAAAGUAAUGGCACAUGGAGAAUAGUCAACUUACCUCAUGGGAAACAAACCGUUGACUAUAAGUGGAUAUUCACUAUCAAAUAUAAAGCAGAUAGUAGUGUAGAAAGGUAUAAGGCGCGACUUGUAGCUCGUGGCUUCACUCAAUCCUACGGAAUUGAUUAUCAGGAAACAUUUGCCCCUGUGGCAAAACUGAACACGGUGAGGAUCCUACUAUCUAUUGGCGCCAAUAAGGAUUGGCCUCUAUACCAGAUGGCUUUCAAGAACACCUUCUUCAAUGGAACCUUGACUGAAGAACUAUAUAUGACCAUUCCAAAAGGUGUUACCAGAGAUGGAAGAGCUGUGUGCAAACUGGAAAAAUCCUUGUACGGAUUAAAGCAGUCUACUCGUGCUUGAUUUGGAAAAUUCUCAAGCACGGUGAUUUCAAAUGGUUAUCACCAAUGUCAAACAAACGACACAAUGUUUGUCAAACACAGUGCUGGAAACAGAAGUGCUAUCCUUAUCGUCUAUGUCCAUGAUAUAAUAAUCACAGGCAAUGACGAAGAAGAGAUUGGAAAAUUGAAGGCCAAGCUGGGAAUGGAGUUCAACCUAAAGGACUUGGGGGGAAUGAAGUAUUUUCUGAGAAUGGAAGUGGCCAGAUUAGGUGCAGGAAUCUCCAUUUCCCAAAGGAAAUACGUCUUGGACCUUCUAGAUGAGACAGGUAUGAUAGGCUGCAAACCAGCUGACACACCUAUGCAACAAAACCUCCAGUUUAGCACAGAAACUACAGGGAGGCUAACAGAUAAGGGGAGAUAUCAGAAGUUAGUUGGUAAACUGAUAUACCUCUCACACACGACCUGAUAUUACAUUUGCAGUGAGUGUGGUGAGUCAGUUCAUGAACGAACCCACUGAAGAGCAUAUGGAGGCAGUAACCCGCAUCCUAAAAUAUCUGAAGAAAACUUCAGGACUCAGGUUAUUAUUCAAGAAAACUGAUAACAGAUCAGUGGAAAUGUUCACUGAUGCUAGCUGGGCAAGUGAAAUUACUUCACGAAAGUCAACUACAGGUUACUGUUCAUACGUUUGGGGAAACCUAGUUAUAUGGAAGAGUAAGAAGCAGUUCGUGGUAGCCCGAAGUAGUGCAGAAGCUGAAUAUAGAGCACUGGCUCUUGGAAUUCAAGAGGCAACGUGGAUACAAUGAGUCCUUAACGAACUCGAUCUUCCAGGACAAGGAAAAGCAUCACUGUUCAGUGACAGUCAAUCGGCACUGAGCAUAGUCAAGAAUCUUAUCCAUCACAACAGAACAAAGCAUGUCGAGAUAGACAGGCACUUCAUAACAAAAAAGGUUGAAACUGGAAUAGUGGAAGUCAGCUAUGUUCCUUUCAAGCAACAAACAGCUGAUGUUCUCACAAAGGCUCUAUCACACGAGCACCUAAAGUACUUCAAGUCCAAGCUUGGUCUUAUGAAUAUAUACACAAGCUUGGUCUUGUGAAUAUCUACACCAAGCUUGAGGGGGAGUGUAGAGAAUCCUACAGAUUAGCUAAUUAACCUAUUAUACGUCCCCUAUGUAGUUGUAUUAUGUAUUAUUAGGUAAUUACCUCAUAAUAGGAUUCUUAGAGUAGGUAAAUCUCAUAUGGAGACUUGUGUAUAUAACCCCUAUUACCUACGGGCCUUCUAAUAACAAGAGUAGAACAUUAUUCCCUCAAAUCUACACAUUUCAAGUUUCUCAAAAUUUUAUGAAGCUCGAAGAUUUAUGAAAUCUGAGCACCAUUGGAUUCCAGACACGACCAGAGGUAUUAUUAUGAUAUUAUCAAUGGCAAUGCACCAAGUACAACUCUCAGAUUGACCUAUGAUUCUUAAUAUCCUUCUUAGGUAUACUCUAGGGGAACUAAUAAGCAAUCCUAUUUAGAUCAUAAAAAUGUCAGAACUGACAACUUUAGUAUAUCAUUAUGUGUACUUGAACCAUUAGGGAGAGAAUAUGACCUGCAUUGCUUGCAUGGAGACUCCAAUCAAGGAAAGUGGAUACGCCACAAGCUUGUAGCCAAUCUCCUCCAGCUCCAAGGGGUUGAGUAUGGGAGUUUUACCACCUCCUUCAAGCAUAUUGGCCUUCAAUAAAAGAAAUAGUUAGCCAGCAUCAACAUCAUGGUGAAGUAUCAGAAAACAAAGAUUACCUUAGAGAAUAUCUUUACGAGAGGAUCAAAUCAAUUAUCAUAUUUUCUAAUCAUCUGUUUAUGAUUCUCGAAAUCGAUAUAAGAGAAAAAGAAACAUAUAAAUAAAGAGGGAAAGCGAAGACACAUAUAAAACGGUAUUAUCCUUUCAUACAACAAUAUGCUGCUUAUACUUUCAAGUAUCAACAGAAAUAUCCUUCAUCGGUUCAUCCACAAGAAUUUCAUCACAUGCAGUAAUUUGUUAUCAUUUGUAGCAUGAUAGUUGUGAUUUGUAAACUCAAACGGGCUAAAUUUGAGAGACUGAUUCAAACACAAUAAACUGUACCAUUUUUGGAACUUGAGGAGAUACGUCACAGAAAGCUCUCAUUUCUUCAAUUGAACCUAAUGCAUCAAUGAAAAGGACAUCCGCACCAGCUUCAGCAAAAGCACUGGACCUCCAGAGUGCUUCGUCCAAGGAAAUUGCUUGACGAGAAUCAGUUCGUGCGACAAUCACUAUGUCAGAUCCAGAUUCCUGCCGCGCAUCAACAGCUGCUUUAAUCCUCAUCACUGCCUCUUCUCGCGAUACCACUUUCCUACCGUGGGUAUGGCCACAAGCUUUUGGAGACACCUUCAGGUCCAGAAACGUAUUCCAGAGACAUCCAAACAAUACAAGUUGCAGGUUAUUGAGGUUCAGUUCUGAUGUUUAAAUGUUCAUAGUUUUCACCAAAUUGUUGAUGAACACAUUUAUUGCAUAGUAAAACGACAAACCUGGUCUUCAAGAAUGAUGCCAGCAAAACCAGCUUUAAUGUAUCCCUUGACCGUCCUUUUAACACUCAUGGCAUUCCCAUAUCCAUUAUCACCAUCUCCAAUAACAGGGAUUGACACAGCUUGAGUGAUUUGCUGCCCUUGAUCCACAAUUUCCCCAUAGGAUAUGAAUCCAGUAUCAGGCAGCCCCAAUCUAGCAGCUGAUAUUGAAAACCCUGGAGUAAAAGAAACCAAAUUCAAAUGAAUCACUUGUCUGAAUCUUUGAAUUUGUAAGAAAGCAGCACAACAAGUGAAGAAAGAAACCAUGUAAACUGUUAAUAUAUUGUUGACAGUAAUAUCAAACCCCUAAUUGGAAUCAACAUUAAUUUUAAUCAUUAAUCAGUACCACUGGUAAAGCAGAAGAGAAAUCCGGAUUUCUCAACAAGCUUAGCGCUGAGAGCGUCGAAACAAGCAGGGCCUUGGUGAACCCCAGACGUAUCGAGGAUGGAUCGGAGAGUCUUUGCCGGCGAGUCAGAAGCAGAACAGAUUACUCUGGUGGCUCUUGUUAUACGUCGUUUUGUGGCGCUGAAGACAUUGUUGUUGAAGAGCAAAAGGGAGUUGCGGGGUUUGAAGUUGGAAGAAGAAGAAGAAGGGAAUGGUAAGGAGAAGGUGGGGUAUGAUGAGGAUGGUAGAGAGGAUUGGGAGAAAGAAGGAUGAGCAACAGGAAUUUGGGUUAGUGCCUUCAUUGUUGGGUGUGAUUGUGGAGACUGAAGAACCGAGCGAUCUCUUUACUGAGUAUCUGAUUUUUGUUAGCAGGAAACUGGUCGCUACCAGAUAAUUAGUUUCAAAUAUUGCAGGUUCAUACAUAUUCCCUUUUUUCCUAGAGGACCAUUUUGAAACCUUAAAAUUUUGAUCUUUUCCCUUAACGUCUGCUAACCAAAACAUGUUAUUUACUUCCUUCCCAGCUUCCGGUUUUGUAUAGCUUCUGAUGAAGAAACUUGAGUUCAGUCGAUAGCUUAUUGUAAACAUCAGAAUGUUUGCAGUAGAUGAUGAAGGUUCCUCGUUCAAGUUUUGAGUUUCCAUUUUCCUUUCAAUCUAAAGGUUAUAGCAAACCAACAAUCGUGACGAGACCCUAUACCAAUACUUCCGGAACAGAAUUCUCUGGAACCGAAACAGAACAUGCUUCAAGUUUCCGUUCUCCAAUUCUGAAUCAUCAGUUCCUCAACGGUUCGGAGUUCGGACUAUACAGUUUACAAUAAAAAUGCUAACAACCACUUAAAAAUGAAGACUAAUCAUAACCAAGGUAGAAGAUACGUAUAGGUUUCUAACGUGAAUCCACAAUGAUCUUAUUAUAUAGUUCUAAGUCAGUUGUAUAUCUUCAUUGUUUUGAGCUACUCCCUGCAGCUGUUCCUCUACUGUGACCUGCCAACCCAGCUUCCUCAUCUCGUUUGCUUCUCUCUGCAUUUCCGUCUCCCUCAUCUCCAGAUUCGUCUUCGUCUUUCUCGCCUCUGCAAAAUGGAUCAACCACGAGGGCAGUAUAUCGGCCAAUUAGACGCCAUAAACGCAUAGGUUCAUUUUUUCGGACAAAAUUGUCGAUUUCUGUAUACCUUGAGUAGAUGACCAAACCAACAGCCACGGCACCAAAUGCGAGGAAGUACAUCCAAUCGACCUGAGCAGAGAUGAUAAAGAAUUAGGUAGCUGGAAUUUCAACUCGGAUUUUUUUACUUGGAUUUUAACUUGAGUGGAGCAGAUUAGCUAACGAACCUUCUGAUGGUAUGCAAAGAUGCGAAUCAACACAGCCCACAUGUCCGACGAUAGUAAUGACAGGUUGAGCAUUGUGGACCCGUUAAUCUGCGAAUAAGAGACAUUGUACGUAAGUGAACAUACAAGGAACGAGUGGAAAGAAAAAUCAAAGGACAUAAUCCAAAUAAUACAUCCUCAGUUUAAUGACAUCCCUUAAUAAAUCAGUAUGCCUAUACUGAAUAGAGACCAGUUAAUGCAACUUAAAACUGUACCUUAAGCAGAAUAGGGACCAGAGAGUAGAACAGAAACAUCGCCAAAGAAAAGCCAACAAAUGGAAGAGCCUGAAACAAUCAAACAAUCGUACAGGAGCACUUUAGAUAAAAUUGAAAUUCAAUAGAGCAGAGCACUGGAAAUUGCUUGGGGUAGUCAGUUUGCGCAAUGGUAUGCAGACAAUAAGAGAGAUAGGGAGAGACUUCCUUACAAUCAAGUACAACCAGCAAAACAGUAGUCGAAACUCGAAAAUGUCAUGGAUUUUGAUAAAAGGAUUUCUAUAACAGAUGAGAAAAAGAAAAGAUCUUUUAACCAUAAACAGCUUCUGUAAUAUUGAGUUUUGGCAGACUUAAGCAAUCCUCCUGUAAAGAACGAAUGUUUUACUAGAGUAAACAGAAUUGAUGAUA
Molecule: long non-coding RNA, 24451 nt
Filed under: Linum usitatissimum (flax)
Lineage: Eukaryota; Viridiplantae; Streptophyta; Magnoliopsida; Malpighiales; Linaceae
Description: long non-coding RNA (LUSI_LNC005636)
Source: RNAcentral